CGGAAGGUCCGGGCGUUAUCCGGAUUUAUUGGGGUUAAGGGAGCGUAGGCUGUCUAUUAAGCGUGUUGUGAAAUUUACCGGCUCAACCGGUGGCUUGCAGCGCGAACUGGUCGACUUGAGUAUGCAGGAAGUAGGCGGAAUUCAUGGUGUAGCGGUGAAAUGCUUAGAUAUCAUGACGAACUCCGAUUGCGCAGGCAGCUUACUGUAGCAUAACUGACGCUGAUGCUCGAAAGUGCGGGUAUCAAACAGGAUU
RNAcentral lists this ribosomal RNA (253 nucleotides) under uncultured bacterium. RNAcentral describes it as "partial 16S ribosomal RNA". It matches the Rfam family "Bacterial small subunit ribosomal RNA", at positions 526 to 779 of the family's 1533-position model. The record is from RNAcentral.